Molecule: non-coding RNA, 573 nt
Organism: Paramuricea clavata
Lineage: Eukaryota; Metazoa; Cnidaria; Anthozoa; Malacalcyonacea; Plexauridae
Source: the annotation of a GenBank genome assembly
CCUGGUGUAAUCAAUAGCUACAGUUUUAAUGAAUGAGAGGUUUAGUAUCAAGUUACAAUUAAAGACAAGUUUAAUAUCAACUAGUUACUACUUAUCUCGAAACACGUACUCAAUUCAUAGAUUGGAUGGAACAAAUAAACUGAUAUUUAUUGGAAGGGGUUUAACAAACGUAUACAGAUCGACGUGUUUCUUUGCUGUGAGGGAGGGGUAGAUAGGGACUUUAUAAUUUUUUUUCUCUAAUAUGGAUCUUACUGCAGAAGGGGUCGGCGUGUUUGGGAAGUGGGACUACGCAUCGUAUAACUGGCAAAGGUAUGACAACAGGAAGUGGUUAUUUUUCCGGUCACGAAAACCAACCAGCUUUGCCUAUAUUUGUCCGUGAAUUAAUUUGAUUGGUUCUUUUCUUGGUUCUGUCAGCUUGCUAGAAUGUCAAGUAAAUUUCAUUAAUUUUCGCAUUCCUCGGUAGUCGAGUUGUGUGCGCUAGCUCCGGGGAUCGAAUACUUGAAGGAGAUUCACGAUGAUUUGCGGCCUGAUCAGUUCGGGUUAGAGGUUGGGGAAGGGGUUGGGUAAGGUUCC